This is a non-coding RNA of Aedes albopictus (Asian tiger mosquito), 58 nucleotides long. The record is from Rfam. Lineage: Eukaryota; Metazoa; Arthropoda; Insecta; Diptera; Culicidae.
UAGCCAAGUGGUUAGGGCUAUGGAUCGCUAAUCCAGAGACGGCGGGUUCGAUUCCCGU